UCAAGGGCAAACCUGUCGAGAGGCAGGGGCGCAAAACCACGGAUCUGGACUGUACGUCAAGAUGGCCGGGUUGCCGG
Molecule: non-coding RNA, 77 nt
Filed under: marine eukaryotic metagenome
Description: Cyclic di-GMP-I riboswitch
Rfam family: c-di-GMP-I riboswitch aptamer
About the family: GEMM was predicted in a large-scale screen for bacterial structured RNA regulatory elements. Genes associated with GEMM are involved in a diverse array of functions, including chemotaxis regulation, signal transduction, secretion and chitin.
Source: RNAcentral